RNAcentral lists this ribosomal RNA (279 nucleotides) under uncultured bacterium. RNAcentral describes it as "partial 16S ribosomal RNA". It matches the Rfam family "Bacterial small subunit ribosomal RNA", at positions 506 to 784 of the family's 1533-position model. The record is from RNAcentral.
UGCCAGCCUCCGCGGUACUCCUAAUUGACCUAUCGUAGUUCGGAAUUACUUGUCUUAAAGAGUUCGUAGGUGGUUGAAAAAGUUAGUGGUGAAAUCCCAGAGCUUAACUCUGGAACUGCCAUUAAAACUUUUCAGCUAGAGUAUGAUAGAGGAAAGCAGAAUUUCUAGUGUAGAGGUGAAAUUCGUAGAUAUUAGAAAGAAUACCAAUUGCGAAGGCAGCUUUCUGGAUCAUUACUGACGCUGAGGAACGAAAGCAUGGGUAGCGAAGAGGAUUAGAUA